Dreissena polymorpha is the source of this 2848-nucleotide RNA transcript. It is a transcript of the gene named adhesion G protein-coupled receptor L3-like, with no coding region annotated. The transcript has 11 exons. The record is from RefSeq and is a predicted model, not a curated record. Lineage: Eukaryota; Metazoa; Mollusca; Bivalvia; Myida; Dreissenidae.
CUAAACUCUCCAACAACUGCAAAUAAGGCAUUUGGAAAUCAAUGCCCCGGUACUAGAUUUUACUAUCCACAAGUCCAAGAAUCAAAGUUUUGAACGGCUAGAUAUGACCUUAUACUUCCAGCUAUUUAAGAUUGGCUUAGAGAGGCCAUCAUGUUCUUUCUGGAAGAAGGAUAUUUCUAGUCAUCAAGGCCACUGGUCUAGCGAAGGAUGCAAACUGGUUGAAUAUAACCGUAAGACAGGACGUGUGAAAUGCUCGUGCAAUCAUCUCACCAACUUUGCUGUCCUGAUGAGUCCAGCGACUACCAUUGACGUGAUCCACCACCAGGCUCUCAGUGCAAUAACAGUGGUUGGUUGCAGUUUGUCUCUCGGUGGUCUAUUUACAACUACUGUCAUUUACGUUUGUUUCUGGAGGAUGGUAAAGUCAAACAGAGCAAUCUUGCUGUUAAACCUGUGUGGAGCACUUUUCGUUGCGUAUCUAGCGUUCCUCAUUGGAAUUAAACGCACUCAACCGAUGGGCGCUUGUACAUUCACUGCGGUAUUGCUUCACUACCUGUAUCUCGUGGCCUUUUUCUUGAUGCUGGCUGAGGGAGGCGAUAUUGCGUUGAUGGUUAUGAAACCACUUGCCAAGUGGAAUAUUAUCCCUUACAUCUUGGCUUGAGCAUAUGCUGUUGGCUGACGGUGGAGUCAGGUCUGUUUUGGGCAUUUGCAGGACCAGUUCUUGCCAUAGUCAUGGACCGGUGUGCAGAGUGUGUGUAUUCUACUUCCCGUGCUGGGCCUCACCUGGGUGUUUGGUAUUUUGCAGUCAACAAGGACACGCUCAUCUUCAAGUACUUGUUCGCCAUCUUCAACAGUGUGCAGGGGUUCCUCAUCUUUUUGUUGCAGUGUGUGUUUGAUAAGAAAGUACGCGACGCUCUCCGACAGAUCAAGGUCCAAUGGUUCUCGACUUCAGACGUUCGUACCGGGGACACAAACAAAUCGGCAUCUCGCAAUCUAAUUGCGUCGACAUAGAAACAAAACAGUCAUCACAUUGUCGGAGUACAGGAAGACUGCAUUGAGAUGACUAUGUGCUUUUUUUAAAUCAUUUUAUUAUUGCGAACCUUAUUUUUAUUCAAGCAGUAUUAUAUGGAUGAUGUGUGUAGUAUUAAGGGUAAUAUAUAACGCGUUUGAAAUCUACAUUGCACGAUGACAGCGAUAGCAUUGUGUCUACAGGGCCGGAUUAAGCUGUUUUGGGGGCCCAAGGCAGCACAUAGUACGGGGGCCCCUCCCUUCUGGUCCCCUUCUGUAUAUUGAAAAUCAUACUUGAUAUUACAACUACAAAGAUCAGAAAACUUGGAUUUGUACACAGUUUACAGUUACACUUUAUAUAUAUAUAUAGCAAAACAAGUUUAAAAAUGUAUAAAUAUUUUAUUAACUGAACUUAACGCACAUGAUACAUGUAAAAGAUUCAAGCCUAUAAAUCUCUUCUACAACACCUCAGCAGGCUAAAGUCAUCGAUCAGCUGUGUGAAGUCUAGUUCUCGGAGGACUUGACAUUCAAUAGACAAUAGGCCUAAUGCUGUCAACAUUUCCUGACUCGUGGUGUUCCUCAGAUAGUUUUUUAGUUAUUAACUGGAAUUGUUAAGUAUAUUCGUACAGCGAUGGCAACGUUUUUAUGAAAGUUGUCUGCAGUUGACCUCCAUCUUACUUCAGCAGAUCAUUCAUGUGGGUGAUGGUUGUGUAUUGGUCCGCUUCUUAGAUGGCUUUGAACUGAACGAACUCAACAAAAGACGCCUCAGUGUCAUCUGGUUAAGACUUCACUAGACUUCGAGGAAUGGUAUGUGAACAAUAUUGUGCAUCUUAUAAACUUAGGGUAAAUUGAACUUGAAAACCGUGACACGGUUUCAACAACAUACGGAAGCCAGUAAUUGGCUCUGCUACAAUUGGAUAUACAUCAGAGGCACGAUAACAAGAAAAUGCAACGUUUAGCUACAUAUAUUAAGGGGCCCGCCACUGGUGCAUCCAGAUAGCAUAGUCAAUCAAAGCGAACUUAACGGUCCAGAUGUUGUCAUGACCAUACGAGAAAGUCGUAUAAUAAACAUAGAAACUAAUGGUUCUGAAUGGACAUACAACACAGACAGAACAUUUAUAGCACUGUAAAUCAAAGCGAACGACACAAUUACCAUUGGAUAUACAUCGGGAAACUGGUAAAAUUACAUACAAAAAUUCUACUGCAAUCCCGAUGGAGUCGUCAAAUGGCGUAAUAAAUAAAGAUCAUAAAUUGGAAAACUGGCCUGCCAUUGGGGGCCCAAUGCAGAAACCUUGUCAGCCUAGUGCUUCAUCCGGCAAUGUGUGUCUACAUAGAAACAAAGCAACCAUCAAUAAAUGUAUGACAGCAGAAAAAAAUUCAAGUCGUAAUAGAGAUGUUUUAAUACGCUUUUAUAUAAUAAUUGUGCAUCAUUUGCAACUGCAUGGACAUCUGCAUUUUAAGGCUUAUCAUUAUAUAAUUUGGCUUUCAAAUUGAUUGAUAAAUUAUUUCGUAGGACGAUCGAUAUGACAGCAAACGCUGUAUGCACAUUUGUAUAAUAACAAUCAUAACACAUUUGUCCUGUUAAUGCUGCGAUGAAUUUGCAAACCUGUCUUCCAGUAGAUUAUUACUUCAGGUGUGUAUCUUGAAAAAAAAGUUGAUUUUUCAUACAUCGGAUAUGUGUUAACACCAGUCAUUGGAAAGUUAAUGACUACAUGUGUAUAUAAUGUAUUUGAUCUUUUAUUAUUCCUUUUAAAUCACAUAAAAUAUAAUGUAUUUUAAUUUGACGUAUUUACCUUUAAUAUUGUCUGAUAUAGUUUUUGUAUGAAUAGUAUUGUUCUUUGCA